CGGGGGCCGAGGCGCGCUCCCACAAGGCGGUGUCUCGGGAGCGCGCCCUGCGCCGUGCCCACCGCGGGGCGCCGGAGAGCGGCGGCCGGGAGCCUCCGAGGCGCGCCAGGGCUUCGUCCCAAAGCCCGGGGCAACCCGCAUCGCCAAGCCAUGUAAACGGGUCCUUCCCUGUUCAGCAGGAGGUGUUUGUACUGUAACAAGGCAAAUUCUGAAAUCCGGUCUCGAAGAGGUUGUAGACAAGCUGAUUUGGGCCAUGAAGGACUCAUAAGAUUGUUCAAAAAUGCUAGAAUUUUCAACAGAAGCAGCAUGCCAUUUGGAAAAAUCUACAAGAAUGUUCACUUCAUCAGAAGGGAGAAGACUUCAUUCCCCUCAGCUGCACCUUGGCUACAAAAUAAGCCUGUUGAAAUGGCAAAUGUGGUAGGGGAAUGCUGGUGAAGCAACUGAUACUUGUGGACCCAGGUUGUACUCAGGUUGUUUUGGAGAGCACUGCAGGUUGUCUCAGAGGUGCGAUGCGGUGCGAUGUCCUUUGGUGCAUUCAGGACAUUACCACAGUUGUUGAGUCCUUACCAGGCACGUUCAAAGCUACUCUGGACAUGGAGGAAAUAGGAUGCUCCUCCAGUAGCCAUUUUAAUGUGGUGGAAAAGGAAAGAAAAGAGCUGCAUUCAGCUUUGCAUCCAGAAACUCUCCUUAAAAAGUAUACAAAUAAAGCGAAACCCUUCAUAUGUGAAAACAACUUGGGAUUCCUUCUGACCAAAUCAGCAUACUGCACUGGUGCAAAGGCUACUUUGGACUAGCUGGUGUUUGGAUUGCAUUGUCCUGGCAUGAACCUUCCUCAUGCUUUUCUCCCAGCUUGUCCUGCUCCCCGGUUGUUUAAUGUGGGUAUGAGAAGUCUCCUUUCGCUGUCAAGAGUAAGCAGCUCUGGGGUGGGCUGUGCCAGCCAUUGUCCCACUAAAUAAAAUCCUUUCCAGGGGGAUGACA
This 978-nucleotide long non-coding RNA is filed under the name Anas platyrhynchos platyrhynchos (common mallard). Its description in RNAcentral is "lncRNA (ENSAPLG00000022356.1)". The record is from RNAcentral. Lineage: Eukaryota; Metazoa; Chordata; Aves; Anseriformes; Anatidae.